CUUAAUCCCAGAUCACAGCUAAAGUAUGUAGUCCAGACCUAACACUGGGCCAGUCCAAUAGCUUCCUGACUCCUUUAGCUUCCUGAUUGUGGCAAAUGUUGCCAAUCCCUUGGGUAGCGGGUUCUACAGUGUUGUUUUGAAGUCAUUUCUGGGCCCUGCCUAAAGCCUGCUUUUCCAGAUCUUUCAACAAUUCUAAUAUUAAGAAGAUGUGCGCUCAAGAUUUAAUAAAAUGCAAACUUUUACUGCUUUACCAAGGACAUUCUUACAUGAAACCAGCAUCUUGUUUCUUAAGUCAAAUGGUGACAGUGAUGAAUACACUGAUUUCUAGUCCAGUCUCUUUUAGGUUUAAGAUGACUACAAAAGCAUCAUGUGAUUAAUGGGAAAUUCCCAGUGUAUUUGUGGAAGAGAAUUGGUCCUGUUGAAUACUGGACAUCAGAGAUAACUGAGUUUUCCCCAGCAAAGGGGAUGGCCACACCAUGACUCAAUAAGCAACUCUGCAGCUGCUCCUGCGAAUCACUCCGUUUCACCAUCAGUCCCCUGGCCCCAUGAGAGGAGAGCCUACAUGAAUGUCAUCACCUUGCCAGAAAAUUCUGGGUCAGAGCCAGCCAAAGAGAGCCUUCCAGAGGCAGACAAGAACCCUCAGCUACUCUCACUUUUUACCUAGCUGGAGGUUCCGUCCUGAGGUCCGCCUAGGAAACCUCUCCACUACAAGAUGUUCAAGUGGGCCACAUACCUGGCUUGCCCAACAGGCAUAGCAGAUGAGUAACAAGUGCGUUUAUAGAUUUCGUGGUGCUCCAGUUGUCGCUGAUGAGGAAGCCUUUGUCCUGGGAGUCUGUUGGCCAAGAGAUGUGUCUGCUGAGAGAACUGUACUUGAAGAGUAAGUGGAGGUGGGGAGGAAGCUUGCUGGCUUACAUACAAAUAUUCAGCAAGUGGAUGGAUCCAAGAGCUGAGUGAUUUACACAUGAAGAAACAGGCUCAAAAAAUCCAAGUCACACAAUCCAUAAUAGGUGGCAAAGCCUGUAUCCAAAGGUUUGUCCCACCACUGGAAGCAGAAACCAUGCAUAUACAUCUGUAUAUUCACAGCCAUUGAGCAUGGCACCUGCCAUACCAUAUUUAAGAUCAGAAUUAAAGAAUAUAUGAAUGAA
This is a non-coding RNA of Kogia breviceps (pygmy sperm whale), 1145 nucleotides long. NCBI's taxonomy places the organism in Eukaryota, Metazoa, Chordata, Mammalia, Artiodactyla, Physeteridae. The record is from RefSeq and is a predicted model, not a curated record.